RNAcentral lists this ribosomal RNA (602 nucleotides) under Septonema fasciculare. RNAcentral describes it as "partial large subunit ribosomal RNA". It matches the Rfam family "Eukaryotic large subunit ribosomal RNA", at positions 56 to 676 of the family's 3401-position model. Lineage: Eukaryota; Fungi; Ascomycota; Dothideomycetes; Venturiales; Cylindrosympodiaceae. The record is from RNAcentral.
GAAAAGAAACCAACAGGGAUUGCCUCAGUAACGGCGAGUGAAGCGGCAACAGCUCAAAUUUGAAAUCUGGCUCACGCCCGAGUUGUAAUUUGUAGAGGAUGCUUCGGGUGAAGCCGCGGUCCAAGUCCCUUGGAACAGGACGUCAUAGAGGGUGAGAACCCCGUACCUGGCCGCCGGUGCCCCCCGCUGUGAAGCUCCUUCGACGAGUCGAGUUGUUUGGGAAUGCAGCUCUAAAUUGGUGGUAAAUUCCAUCUAAAGCUAAAUACCGGCCAGAGACCGAUAGCGCACAAGUAGAGUGAUCGAAAGAUGAAAAGCACUUUGAAAAGAGAGUUAAAAAGUACGUGAAAUUGUUGAAAGGGAAGCGCUUGCGGCCAGACUUGCCCGCGGUUGCUCAGCCCGCCCUCUGGCGGGUGCACUCUUCCGCGGUCAGGCCAGCAUCGGUUUGGGCGGUCGGACAAAGGCGUUGGGAACGUGACCUCCCCUCGGGGAGGUGUUAUAGCCCGGCGCGCAAUGCGACCAGCCUGGACCGAGGUUCGCGCUCUGCUAGGAUGCUGGCGUAAUGGCCGUAAGCGGCCCGUCUUGAAACACGGACCACUGCAUAU